GAUGAACGCUGGCGGCGUGCCUAAUACAUGCAAGUCGAGCGAACGGACGAGAAGCUUGCUUCUCUGAUGUUAGCGGCGGACGGGUGAGUAACACGUGGAUAACCUACCUAUAAGACUGGGAUAACUUCGGGAAACCGGAGCUAAUACCGGAUAAUAUUUUGAACCGCAUGGUUCAAAAGUGAAAGACGGUCUUGCUGUCACUUAUAGAUGGAUCCGCGCUGCAUUAGCUAGUUGGUAAGGUAACGGCUUACCAAGGCAACGAUGCAUAGCCGACCUGAGAGGGUGAUCGGCCACCCUAGAACUGUGACACGGUCCAGACUCCUACGGGAGGCAGCAGUAGGGAAUCUUCCGCAAUGGGCGAAAGCCUGACGGAGCAACGCCGCGUGAGUGAUGAAGGUCUUCUGAUCGUAAAACUCUGUUAUUAGGGAAGAACAUAUGUGUAAGUACCUGUGCACAUCUUGACGGUACCUAAUCAGAAAGCCACGGCUAACUACGUG
This 497-nucleotide ribosomal RNA is filed under the name uncultured bacterium. RNAcentral's name for it is "partial 16S ribosomal RNA". It matches the Rfam family "Bacterial small subunit ribosomal RNA", at positions 28 to 507 of the family's 1533-position model. The record is from RNAcentral.